This 70-nucleotide transfer RNA is filed under the name Mesoamericus bilobatus. RNAcentral's name for it is "Diploglossus bilobatus tRNA-Gln". Lineage: Eukaryota; Metazoa; Chordata; Lepidosauria; Squamata; Diploglossidae. The record is from RNAcentral.
CUAGAAAAACAGGACAUGAACCUGCACCAAAAGACUCAAAAUCUUCCGUACAACAUUAUACUAUUUUCUA